Molecule: ribosomal RNA, 253 nt
Filed under: uncultured bacterium
Lineage: Bacteria
Description: partial 16S ribosomal RNA
Rfam family: Bacterial small subunit ribosomal RNA
Source: RNAcentral
UACGUAGGGUGCAAGCGUUGUCCGGAAUUAUUGGGCGUAAAGAGCUUGUAGGCGGUUUGUCGCGUCUGCUGUGAAAUUUCGGGGCUCAACCCCGAACUUGCAGUGGGUACGGGCAAACUAGAGUGUGGUAGGGGAGACUGGAAUUCCUGGUGUAGCGGUGAAAUGCGCAGAUAUCAGGAGGAACACCGAUGGCGAAGGCAGGUCUCUGGGCCACUACUGACGCUGAGAAGCGAAAGCAUGGGGAGCGAACAGG